UGUUUGAAAAACAAACGAUUGUAGGAAAUGUACGAAAUGGCCUUACGACUAUUUUUGAGAAAAAACAAUCGGGGUGGUAGAAAUUUGGUUAGAUUUAAGUUUUGUUUUCGGGAUAGAAAUGCUAUUUUUAGGCGUGAUUGUAUCCCCCCCAAAAAACGAAAUGAAGAAGAAGGGGGAAUUAGUUAUGCCGAUCACAUGGCAGACACAAGACAACACAACUGCACGCCCACCGAUUCUUCUUCUUCUUCUUCUUUUCAUCUCUUUUUUUUUUCUUGUGAUUUUCGGUGUUGCCUGUAGGGGCCGAUUGUCUGCUCCUCUUAUUAUCUCUCCCAGCUCCUGGUAGAGGAACAACCCGAAAGAAAUAAUGAUCACAUGAGAAAGAAAGAAAAACCUCUGCGUGUCUCUUUCUACCCUAAACAAAAGUUCUCCACCUUUUGUUGUGAAUAGAAUCAGGAAAAACUAAAUCUCCCAGUCAGAGCUCCGGGGUUGUGGACAACGCCCAUCCUGGCCGUUUCUUUUUGAUUUUUUGUCUGAUAUUUUCAGUCCCAAUGGUCCAUCAUCAUCGUCUUGUGUGUGUGCACAUUGGAACGGGCGUCAAGGUGGACACAAUGAUGAUGAGAUUUGUCGGAUUUCUCUUCUUCCCAACCGAAAAAGAAGAAGAAGAAGAAGAAGAAAAGAUUAUUUCUUUUCUUUUCUUUUUCGUCUCCCGUUGUGUUUUUCAUUUCCCAUCCGCGCGCGGUGCAGUCAGAGAUGAUCCAUCCAUCCAUUUGAGCAGAUAUAUAGAAAGAACUUACUACUACUACCAGCAGCGAUAACUGGGCGAUCCGCCGCAAAUCAGCUACCGGAUGCUGCAGCAUCAGCAGAAACUAUUAAUUCUUUUAAUAAAUCUUCUUCUUUAUCUAUUCAAUUCAUUCAGUCGGGAUGGUCCGUGGAACUUUUUUUCUUCUUUUCCAUGUCCGCCUACCUUUUUUUUUUAUUCUCCAGCAACAUCUUUUUUCGCUAAUUGGAGGGGAACCUUUUCUGUCCGGUAGGACGGACGCCGGGGUUUUCUAGACCUUUUUUGUCAUCACUGCGUGUGCCAUUAUGGCACAUGGGGGAACUGAUCCUCUUGUUGUUGUGGGGGAUAUUAGACGCCCAACACAAUGACGUCCCAUUUCUAAAAGACCCUGACAGUCUCAGCAGCAACCGGGCCCGUCUUCUUCUUUAAUAUCUCCCACCUUAUUUGGUGUUGUGUGUGGAAUAUCAUCGAGAGUCCUUAACGUUUUGUGACGUGUCAUUGUCCCCCUUCCUUGGUUCUUUUCACGUCCGCAGCUUUUUUCCGCCGCAUCAUCGAGUGACACGAGCGUUUUUUCUUCCGUCAAACAAAAACGGACGGACGGACGGAAUAAAAGUCUUUUUCAAAUAUAAAAGACAAAAUUUUACUUGUCGAUUGUUGUGUCCGUUUCCCCCUCCCGGCUCUAUCAUUGCACCUUUCUUCUGUUGAUUGGCUUCAAAAAUAUUGAAUUUCUAUGAAGAUGAUGAUGAUGAUGGUGUACGUAAGUAUAAUAUUUAAAGUAAUCACAUGUAUAGACUCGGCCAGCAGAGAAUUUCGUUCUCCAAGAUAAUUUGAACUUUCAAUUUGGGAUUUUGGAAAAUUUGAUAAAACUGGGACACAACAGUAGCGAAAAGCCAUUCUCUCCUUUUAUUCUCUUUUCUGUAGAAAUUUAUUGUUUCAAAACUAUUGUCGAGCGAAAGAAAAUGACGUUUUAUUUCUAGACUUUGGAGGCUGGCCGGCAUAUUAUAUCCAGUAAUGAGAUAACACGAAAAACUUCUUUUCUCUCCGGCGCAGUUGAGCUUUUUUUGGUUGGCGCUGGCGCGGCCGCGCGUCCGUCCAAUUAUACCAACCAGACAACAACAACACCAACACCACUCGACUUGUUUUGUGUGCUGUUGUUGUUGUUGCAGUUAUAGCCGCUGGGUUAGUGCUCCUUGACAAGAAGAAUGUUGCAUCCAUCCCCACUUUCACUGGACGGCAGCAGCGUCCAGCAGCAGCUCAACCGGCCACUUUUCUCAUCGCGUGCGCCAACGGGGUCGACAUCAGAAAAUGGGGAAAAACAAACAGAAAAAUCGUUCCAUUUCCAGAUGGAUGGCCAACGUAAGAGAGUUUUUGGAACGCCGAGAGUAGAUGAUGGAAAUCUGAGUCCAGGCCAGGCCAGUUCAGGGAUGAUGGAACACAGUGGCCGAGACAAACACACGCUAGAGAGAGAGACGUACGUACGUGUUUUUCAAAAAAAUAAAAGACAAUGGCGUCUCUAUAUGUAGAUGGGCAUUGACAGUCGUUUCUUCAAACCAAACUGGGAGUCAUAUCCCCUUUUUUCUUUCUUUCUUUCUUUCUUUCUUCUCAAUCACGCUCAAAACUCCCGCCGGGCUUCUUCUUCUUCUGUUCCAGUGGCUCUCCUUAUUUUUAUUCCACAGCCAGAAAAAAACAACUGGAAAUAUUCACAGAAGAAGAAGAAGAAGAAGAAGAUGAUGAUUAUUAGAUGAUAUUUAUAGAGUCGCCUGCGGACACCGUGGUGGUUGGUGGCUGGUGGAAACAAAAGAACGUCGUGAUAUUUAUGUAAUCAGCGCGGGGGGCUCCGACCCAGGUAUACUGCAGGACGUGAGAUGGAAUUGAAAGAAGAUGUGCCUCUGCGCAUAUUUUUUAAAAAAAUGUACAUUCCCCCCACCCCCAGCAGCAGCCACCGGCGCACACACGUAUCUGCCGGGCACAUGUAUAUAACAGAGACUACUGGUAUAUAACAAGAGGGUGGAAAAACAAUGGGCCCUUGUUUUCUUUCUCUACUUCUGCUCAGCUUUUGUUUCUUUUUUGGGGGGUGUUAAAAGGGGAAGCUGAUAUUUCCCUAGUCACGAUUUCCCUCUCUCUUGUUUAGGUUGGAAGGGGGGGGGGAGAGUUGUUGUUAUUCCAUCCAUCUUGAGAUUCCAGCAGGGUUGCUGGAACAUGUAGGAGAGCGAGGUGUGUUCUUCCACCUGCCCAUAAGUGAUGACGUAUGGCUUUUCUUCUUUUCCCCCCUUUAUAAGUUAUACGACGGGGGUUGUAGGGUCGAACGGACCAGGUCAAACGGCCGAUGCAUCUUCUUCUUCUUUCCUCCUGGAAAAAUAUCAUCGACUGAAUAUUCAAAAAACGCCCAGGGAAGAUGGAAAACAAUGCGAAAAUAAAAACCAGAAUGAAAAACUCUCCGGUCGGUUAGGAGAGCUCCCGGUGAGUUGGCAAAUGGAAAAACAACGAUUCGCCGCUGUUGUUGUUGUUGUUCCAGGAACAAGGAAAAGGAGUUUUGCGGGAGUCAUUCACAACAAAAUGAGAGAAAAUGAAUUUUUUUUUCUUUUCGGUACAUCCAGAAAAUAAUUUAAAAAAUAAAAUAAAAUAAAAGUUUUGUGUGUUGGAAGCGAAACGAAUCAUCCUGUAAGAAACGAAUGAACCAACAAACGGGAAUCACGCUUUAAUUGACUGCGUGUUGUUAUUUUAUAUUAUUAUUAGAUAUAAACUAACGGACGUGUAUUUAAAAAAAGCGAGAAACGAACACCCAAAGGUCCUUUUUUUAAAAAAAAUAAAAACGCGCCAAAUGGAGAGUCUGAAGAGAUUUCUCCCAUAAGUUUGAACGAAUAAAAUCCAAACGUGUCGCUGUCGCCUAGUUGAGAGCCCACAAAAGGAUUCUUUUUCUUGGAGGGGGGAACACAUAUUUUUGUUAUUUAUUUUUUUAGUGGCGACCAUUUGAGAUUUUCUCUCAAAAUAAGGAAGGAAAAGACGGACAAGUUUGGAGAGAAUUGAACUUUUUAAGAAAAAGUGUCGCGCGCGUUCUUCAAAAGAUAUAUAACCCAACCCAACUCAGGAAAAAAGAUGUCCAGGAAUAAGUUGUAGCGCGCCGUAUAAAUGAGUUGUAAAAAUUUUUUAAGUUUCUUCCUUGCAGAACUAUAUAUAUAUAUUUUUUCGCUCCUCUUGUAUUUUUAUGACAUUUGGGGAAUAUGUAGAAGAAAUAACUGACCGACCUUCUUCUUUUGACAAAAACACAAAGGGGCAGGUAUAUAUAUUGGGGGCAGCUGCUGGACACGAGACCUUCUCUCCGUCGACCUUUUUUAAACCAACUAAAGAAGAAAAAAAGCCUACGAUGACCAACUGUGUGCCAAGGCUUCUUCUUCUUGUUUCCCUUCUGUUGGAAAAACUUUUUUUCCCUCUUGAAGAAUCACAGCUGCUGCUGUUGCUGGACUAGGACGACGACAGUCAGUUUUUAAAACCCCCCCGCCAUAAUAAUAGUAACCCAAUCUCCCUUGUAUAUAUACAUUUUCUCUUCUAUCUUCUUUUAGGUCUGUGGCUAUUUUGUGUGUCCAGCGGAAGUUAUUGAUUUGACUCCCUCGACCAGACUGAUGCGAUGAAGCUACAAGUUUCUUUUUUUCUCUUUUUCGGCUUUUCACGUCAACCGUCUAUAGUCUUGAACCAAAAAGGACAACGGCAAACACAAGAAAAGAAAAAACCACUUGACUUUUUUCCUUUUUCCCAAAAAACGGCAGCAGCUGUGUGAACUGCCAUUGGAAUCAAGAAGAAGAAAAGGAAGCGAGAAAAUUGAGGUGUCGCCAUCUCCAUUAUUAUAUACAUUUCCUUGUGUCUUUUGGCCCUUUUUUCUCACGGAAUCGAUUAGAGAGCCCCGGCUGCCGUGUGUACACUAUGAGCUGCUGUGCUGUGCUGUGCUGGCCGCAGGUAUAGACACAACUAAUAAACAUUGUCGUCUCUCUCUACUAUACAACGUUCACACAACCGACCGAGUUUGGAACCUUUGAAAAGGUUGUGCGACCGUGACCUGGCCCGCAUCAUGUUCUCAUAAUCACCGAGAGAGCAACUUUCUCGUUAUAGAUCAGGGAGGAUCUAUCUACAAUCUGCUGGCGGAUAUUGCGUCACGACAAUUCAAAUGGACACACAUUUUUCCAUAUGAAUCACGUCAGCAGCAGCAGCAGCUACCGUGUGGUCGCUUUUCUCUUGUGUGUGUGGACGUCACGGAUGACUUGGCUUUAGCACAUCGUCGACACACUCACAGAAAAAACCGCCAUAAGAUUACGACAAGUAUAACCGCCACCGCCGUUCGUGUUGUUUUCCUUUUUUUUCCUUUUUACACGAAACCCGCAGGUGAUGACGCGGUCGGCCGAGCGCGACAUCGGCCGUCAACAUUUUCUUUUUAUUUCUAAAUUGUUUUUUUCUUUUUCUUUUAUGCGGGAAAUAGAUAUAUAUAUAUCCAAUCGUGUCCUCAUUUCGUUUUGGGUUAACCCCCAUUGAAAGAAAAAAGAAUUUGAUUAUGUACCGAUAUCUAUUUAGGCCUAGCGGUCGUUUUCCUUUUUAUUUUGUGGAAUCAAGACUCACGAACGGAAUGAAAACCGGAAUUUUUUUGAAGAAAAUUUACGAGACGUGGACACCCCCAA
This 5442-nucleotide long non-coding RNA is filed under the name Daphnia pulicaria. RNAcentral's name for it is "uncharacterized LOC124342978, transcript variant X1". The record is from RNAcentral. Lineage: Eukaryota; Metazoa; Arthropoda; Branchiopoda; Diplostraca; Daphniidae.